GUACGGGAGGCAGCAGUGGGGAAUUUUGGACAAUGGGGGCAACCCUGAUCCAGCCAUGCCGCGUGCGGGAAGAAGGCCUUCGGGUUGUAAACCGCUUUUGGUCGGGAAGAAAAGGCACACGCUAAUACCGUGUGUUCUUGACGGUACCGGCAGAAUAAGCACCGGCUAACUACGUGCCAGCAGCCGCGGUAAUACGUAGGGUGCGAGCGUUAAUCGGAAUUACUGGGCGUAAAGCGUGCGCAGGCGGUUCGUUGUGUCCGGUGUGAAAGCCCCGAGCUUAACUUGGGAAUGGCAUUGGAAACUGGCGAGCUGGAGUGUGGCAGAGGGGGGUGGAAUUCCACGUGUAGCAGUGAAAUGCGUAGAGAUGUGGAGGAACACCGAUGGCGAAGGCAGCCCCCUGGGCCAACACUGACGCUCAGGCACGAAAGCGUGGGGAGCAAACAGGAUUAGAUACCCGUGUAGUCCC
Molecule: ribosomal RNA, 466 nt
Filed under: uncultured bacterium
Lineage: Bacteria
Description: bacterial SSU rRNA
Rfam family: Bacterial small subunit ribosomal RNA
Source: RNAcentral